RNAcentral lists this ribosomal RNA (468 nucleotides) under uncultured bacterium. RNAcentral describes it as "partial 16S ribosomal RNA". It matches the Rfam family "Bacterial small subunit ribosomal RNA", at positions 28 to 507 of the family's 1533-position model. The record is from RNAcentral.
GACGAACGCUGGCGGCGUGCUUAACACAUGCAAGUCGAACGGAAAGGCCCUGCUUUUGUGGGGUGCUCGAGUGGCGAACGGGUGAGUAACACGUGAGUAACCUGCCCUUGACUUUGGGAUAACUUCAGGAAACUGGGGCUAAUACCGGAUAGGAGCUCCUGCUGCAUGGUGGGGGUUGGAAAGUUUCGGCGGUUGGGGAUGGACUCGCGGCUUAUCAGCUUGUUGGUGGGGUAGUGGCUUACCAAGGCUUUGACGGGUAGCCGGCCUGAGAGGGUGACCGGCCACAUUGGGACUGAGGUACGGACCAGACUACUACGGGAGGCAGCAGGGGGGAAUAUUGCACAAUGGGCGGAAGCCAGAUGCAGCAACGCCGCGUGCGGGAUGACGGCCUUCGGGUUGUAAACCGCUUUCGCCUGUGACGAAGCGUGAGUGACGGUAAUGGGUAAAGAAGCACCGGCUAACUACGUG